ACGCUAGCGGCAGGCUUAACACAUGCAAGUCGAGGGGCAGCGGGGAGGAAGCUUGCUUUCUCCGCCGGCGACCGGCGCACGGGUGAGUAACACGUAUGCAACCUGCCCCUGUCAGGGGGACAACCCGCCGAAAGGCGGGCUAAACCCGCGUACAUGCCACCGGGGCAUCCCGGAGGCAGGAAAGGCUUCGGCCGGACAGGGAUGGGCAUGCGGCGCAUUAGGCAGUAGGCGGGGUAACGGCCCACCUAACCGACGAUGCGUAGGGGUUCUGAGAGGAAGGUCCCCCACACUGGUACUGAGACACGGACCAGACUCCUACGGGAGGCAGCAGUGAGGAAUAUUGGUCAAUGGUCGGGAGACUGAACCAGCCAAGCCGCGUGAGGGAGGAAGGUACAGAGUAUCGUAAACCUCUUUUGUCAGGGAACAAAGACUGGGACGCGUCCCCGGAUGAGUGUACCUGAAGAAGAAGCAUCGGCUAACUCCGUGCCAGCAGCCGCGGUAAUACGGAGGAUGCGAGCGUUAUCCGGAUUUAUUGGGUUUAAAGGGUGCGCAGGCGGUCUGUUAAGUCAGCGGUCAAAGCCCGGGGCUCAACCCCGGCCCGCCGUUGAAACUGGCAGUCUCGAGUUGGAGAGAAGUAUGCGGAAUGCGCGGUGUAGCGGUGAAAUGCAUAGAUAUCGCGCAGAACUCCGAUUGCGAAGGCAGCAUGCCGGCUCCACACUGACGCUGAGGCACGAAAGCGUGGGUAUCGAACAGGAUUAGAUACCCUGGUAGUCCACGCAGUAAACGAUGAAUGCUGGCUGUCCGGGGGGACUGACCCCUGGGUGGCGAAGCGAAAGCGAUAAGCAUUCCACCUUGGGAGUACGCCGGCAACGGUGAAACUCAAAGGAAUUGACGGGGGCCCGCACAAGCGGAGGAACAUGUGGUUUAAUUCGAUGAUACGCGAGGAACCUUACCCGGGCUCAAACGGGGAGUGACUCAGGCAGAGACGCCUGUUUCCCACGGGACACUCCCCGAGGUGCUGCAUGGUUGUCGUCAGCUCGUGCCGUGAGGUGUCGGCUUAAGUGCCAUAACGAGCGCAACCCCCGCGUGCAGUUGCUAACAGAUAACGCUGAGGACUCUGCACGGACUGCCGGCGCAAGCCGCGAGGAAGGCGGGGAUGACGUCAAGUCAGCACGGCCCUUACGUCCGGGGCGACACACGUGUUACAAUGGGUGGUACAGCGGGAAGCCAGGCGGCGACGCCGAGCGGAACCCGAAAUCCACUCUCAGUUCGGAUCGGAGUCUGCAACCCGACUCCGUGAAGCUGGAUUCGCUAGUAAUCGCGCAUCAGCCAUGGCGCGGUGAAUACGUUCCCGGGCCUUGUACACACCGCCCGUCAAGCCAUGGGAGCCGAGGGCGCUUGAAGU
This 1405-nucleotide ribosomal RNA is filed under the name uncultured bacterium. RNAcentral describes it as "16S ribosomal RNA". It matches the Rfam family "Bacterial small subunit ribosomal RNA". The record is from RNAcentral.